This 3512-nucleotide small RNA is filed under the name Arabidopsis thaliana (thale cress). RNAcentral's name for it is "ATSL196860". Lineage: Eukaryota; Viridiplantae; Streptophyta; Magnoliopsida; Brassicales; Brassicaceae. The record is from RNAcentral.
AAAAAGUUGUAGACAACAUCGAAGCAUAAAUGGACUUAUGAAGAAGAAAAAACAUUGAUUGAGUUGUUUGAUCAUGCAAUUUCCAUGAAUAAUUAUACUCUUAAAGAUCCUACGCCUCUCGGUCGAGAAUACAUGGUUGAGAAAUUUAACCUAGCAUUUAACAUGAAUAUAAAUUAUUUGUUUUUCAAAAACAAACUUGAUGAGUUCAAAAAAGCAUAUAAAAGAUGGAAAUUUCUAAUGACUUCUACCGGUGUCUCGGUUGAUUCUGAAACAUCCAUGAUUUCUGCAUCUGACUCGUGGUGGAAGGGUCAUGAAUUGGUAAUUACUUAUAACCAUUCUAUUCUUACUACUAAUAUUAACACAUACAUAUAUUAUAAUAAAUAAUAUGUAUGAGUUUUACAGGGAUGCAAAAUAACUACUAAGUUCAAACGAUAACCAGCAGAGUUUUGGGAUGUAAUGCAACGAUGUUUUAGAUUGCAUGAUGUUUCUUCCCAAUCACAACAUUCUUCACGACAAAGACAAGAAGAGCUAAUGAACCAGAGACGAGCUGAUGAUGCCAUUCAUGGUUACUCGGAUGGUGGUGACAUGCCUGAGACCAAUGUUCCCGAGAUCGAAGAAAAUGAAAAAAAUUAUCGUAUUAACAUCGAUGAUGAUACACAUCCUUCGAAUGAGUUCACUCGUGACACAUUCCGUGUUCCUGUUGGAAGAGGUGAACAACAAAGCAGACUGAAUUUUAAUUCUAGUGUAAGGCGCGGAAGUGGUUCUCAAAGAUCUGAAGGAAGUUCAAAAGCAAAAAAUUUUGGAAGUAGGUCCAGAGGAAACUGUGGAAGACAAUCUUUUGAAACAACUAUACAAGACACCAUCGCUGGCUAUACUGAGUAUCAACGACAAAGUUUGCAACAACUUCGGCCUGGUAGUUUUGAUCAAGAAGAUUACGAUGAAUUCAAAAAAGCAUAAGCUAUAUUCCUUGCCUUGGAACUUCCAAGGAAUACCAAAUUUCAUUGGGCAUGCAUUGAUACAUUUAAACAGCUAAAAUUUUGGCGAAAGUAUUUCCUUGACAUAGUUGGAGGCACUAACGAGGAAAAAAUACAAUUGUUAGAAGCCAUGACUAGUGUUUCUCGGAACAACCAAGACUUGUCGAAGAGGUUGGGCUCUGGACAUUCUUAUGGCAGUCCAAAUUCAGGAGGCCCAAGUUUUCAGCAAUGGGAAACACCACCAAAUGUUUCACAAUGGGGAACACCACCAAGUACUCAACAAUGGGAAACACCACCUAGUAUACAACAAUGGGGCACACCACCAAAUGCUAAACAUUGAGAAACAUCACCAAAUACUUAACGUUUGGGAACACCACCAAAUGCUCAACAAUGGGGGACACAAGCAAAUGCUUCCCAAUGGAACACACCACCGAACAAUCAACAUUGGGGGACACAAUCAAGCGCUUCCCAAUGGAACACACCACCAAACAAUCAACAUUGGGGGACACAAUCAAAUGCUCCCCAAUGGAAUACUCCACCAAAUGCUCAACACUGGGGCACACAAGCAAAUGAUUCCACUGGGGUACAUCACCAAAUGUUCCACAAUGGGGCACCCAACCAACAGCUUCACAAUGGAGUUCACCACGAAAUGAUCCACAAUGGAAUUCAUCACCAAAUGCUUCACAUUGGGGUCUUUUACCAAACUUUCAAUCUUGGGGUUCACCAUCAAAUGUUCAACAAGGGCGUAAUACACCAAAUUUUCAAUAAGGAAGCUCAUCUGCAACAACUCCAACAAAUAUUUAGUAAUGGUUUUCAGUGGGAAGUCAAGAAGAUAAUAUAAGGGAUAUUCAUCAAGAAAGAUUGGAAAGACCUAGACGAGGAGGUCUGUUUAAUAUAUGGGGAACCUCGAAGAGAGUAAAUGCAAGUACAAACGAGGAUAAUCAAAUUGAUUUAGAAGACGAAAAUUAAUUUUUUCUAUAGAUUAUUAUUCUCGUUUAUGUUAAAAAUAUUCGGCUUUUCUUAGUUUCUAUGCAUUUGGUGUAAUUGUAUAAUGUAAGUUCACUUAUGGCUAAAAACAUUUUUACUAUUUUAUAAAAUUUCAGGUUUUCCGUAUAUGUCAGUUGCGAUCACAAGGAAUCCAUAUUCUAACUUAUAAAGAAAGACUUGAAUUGUGGAAAUUAGAAAAUGAGCAAUUUAAGGAGUUAAUAAUCCAGCCAACUUUGAGUUACUAUGAUCGAUAUUUUCAAAGAGCACCAGCGCAAACCGAUGGAGGUUUAGGAUGGAGAAAUAUUUGGCAUCGACUACAACAAGAUGAUGCUGCUUGUCUUCAGUUAUUACGAAUGUCACUCACAGCAUUUACAACAUUGUGCAGUCUGCUACAAACAAAUUACGGUCUACAACCAACACUAAAUAUAAGCAUUGAGGAAUGUGUGGCUAUGUUUUUACGAAUAUGUGGGCAUAAUGAAGUUCAAAGAGAUGUUGGUUUGAGAUUUGGGCGAAAUCAAGAGACCGUGAAGAGAAAAUUUGGAGAAGUUCUUACGGCAACUGAAUUACUAGCAUGUGAUUAUAUUAGAACUCCAAAAACUCAAGAUCUACAUCGAAAUCUUGAGAUACUUCAAGUAGAUCGAAGAAAUUGACCAUAUUUUAGUGGAUUUGUUGGAGCUAUGGAUGGGACUUAUGUUUGUGUAAAAAAGUGAAGCCUGAAUUACAAGGAAUAUAUUGGAAUCGACACGAUAAUGCAUCUUUGAACAUCAUGGCAAUAUGUGAUUUGAAUAUGUUCUUCACAUAUAUUUGGAAUGGAGCACCGAGAUCAUGUCACGACAAAUCUGUUCUAACAAUGGCACAACGAAGUGAUUCUGAUUUUCCCUUGCCUCCGCUAGAAAAGUACUACGUCGUUGAUUCUGGCUAUCCAAACGGACAUGAAUUUUUGGCUCCUUACAGAUCAUCAAGAGGUGGAAUUGUGAGGUAUCAUAUGUCGCAGUUCUAUUCUGGACCACCUCCAAGAAAUAAAAAAGAAUUAUUUAAUCGAUGUCAUGUGUCAUUACGUUCAGUAAUCGAGAGAACUUUUGGAGUUUGGAAGAAGAAAUGGAUAAUUCUUUGUGAUUUCCCAAGAUAUAGUAUUCAAGUACAAAAGAGAAUGGUAAUGACUACAAUGGGAUUACACAAUUUUUUCAAAAUUUCAAAUUUUUUAGAAGUAAUGACAGAGGCUAGAAUUAACAAUACAGAUUGGGAGCCUGAAAUAAAUGAUAUGGAAGCAAAUGAAGUAGCAGAUGGAGAAUUUAUGACACAAAUAAGAGACAAUAUUGCAGAUAUGUUGUGGGCAAAUAAAAAUACUCGUUAAUAUUAUUUUGCUUGUGUUUUUGAUAAUUAUUGUUUCCCUUAAUUUCUGAAAUAAAUUUAUUUUUAUAAAAUUCUAAACUCAAAUAUUUAAAUUAACGUAUAUUUAAGGUUUGUAAUAAAAUAUAAAAUUUUUUGGUAAUUUAACACAAAACUAUAACUUUUAUAAUAAUAAUAUCACUAAUCUAUUUUUAUUUUCAA